RNAcentral lists this ribosomal RNA (802 nucleotides) under uncultured bacterium. RNAcentral describes it as "bacterial SSU rRNA". It matches the Rfam family "Bacterial small subunit ribosomal RNA", at positions 67 to 871 of the family's 1533-position model. The record is from RNAcentral.
CGGGAUUGGGAGCUUGCUCCCAUGAGAGUGGCGCACGGGUGAGUAACGCGUAUGCAACCUACCUUUAACUGAGGGAUAGCCCAUAGAAAUGUGGAUUAAUACCUCAUAGUUCUUUUGUUCCGCAUGGAAUGAAAGAUAAAGCUCCGGCGGUUAAAGAUGGGCAUGCGUGACAUUAGUUUGUUGGUGAGGUAACGGCUCACCAAGACUACGAUGUCUAGGGGUUCUGAGAGGAUGAUCCCCCACACUGGUACUGAGACACGGACCAGACUCCUACGGGAGGCAGCAGUGAGGAAUAUUGGUCAAUGGGCGCAAGCCUGAACCAGCCAUCCCGCGUGAAGGAUGAAGGCCCUAUGGGUCGUAAACUUCUUUUAUACACCAAGAAAAAGCAGGACGUGUCCUGCCCCGACGGUAGUGUAUGAAUAAGCAUCGGCUAACUCCGUGCCAGCAGCCGCGGUAAUACGGAGGAUGCAAGCGUUAUCCGGAUUUAUUGGGUUUAAAGGGUGCGUAGGCGGCUUUUUAAGUCAGUGGUGAAAUCCUGUCGCUUAACGAUAGAAUUGCCAUUGAUACUGAAAAGCUUGAGUACAAUUGAGGUAAGCGGAAUGUGUAGUGUAGCGGUGAAAUGCUUAGAUAUUACACAGAACACCGAUUGCGAAGGCAGCUUACUAAACUGUCACUGACGCUGAUGCACGAAAGCGUGGGGAGCGAACAGGAUUAGAUACCCUGGUAGUCCACGCCGUAAACGAUGAUCACUCGCUGUAUGCGAUACACAGUAUGCGGCCAAGCGAAAGCAUUAAGUGAUCCA